RNAcentral lists this transfer RNA (83 nucleotides) under Anaerocolumna sp. Its description in RNAcentral is "tRNA-Leu". It matches the Rfam family "tRNA". Rfam says of the family: Transfer RNA (tRNA) molecules are approximately 80 nucleotides in length. Their secondary structure includes four short double-helical elements and three loops (D, anti-codon, and T loops). Further hydrogen bonds mediate the characteristic L-shaped molecular structure. tRNAs have two regions of fundamental functional importance: the anti-codon, which is responsible for specific mRNA codon recognition, and the 3' end, to which the tRNAs corresponding amino acid is attached (by aminoacyl-tRNA synthetases). tRNAs cope with the degeneracy of the genetic code in two manners: having more than one tRNA (with a specific anti-codon) for a particular amino acid; and 'wobble' base-pairing, i.e. permitting non-standard base-pairing at the 3rd anti-codon position. The record is from RNAcentral. RNAcentral also lists the same sequence under 3 other names. Lineage: Bacteria; Bacillati; Bacillota; Clostridia; Lachnospirales; Lachnospiraceae.
GCGGAUGUGGCGGAAUGGCAGACGCAGCAGACUCAAAAUCUGCCAAGGGUGACCUUGUGAGGGUUCGAGUCCCUCUAUCCGCA